This 2894-nucleotide long non-coding RNA is filed under the name Homo sapiens (human). Its description in RNAcentral is "HSALNT0089694". Lineage: Eukaryota; Metazoa; Chordata; Mammalia; Primates; Hominidae. The record is from RNAcentral.
GGACUUUUGCCAUCAUUUGAGCCACAUCAUAUUUCAUUGACUGAGCUAUUAUUUCCCUCUGGUUUACAGACGGGGAAACCAAGAUGCUACGUGACUUGCUCAAGAUCACACAGGUAGUAAGAGACAGAACCAGGAUUUGUACCCAUGUAAUCUGACUCUGAAGUGCAUGUUCCAAUCACUACACAUGCUGCUCUCGGUGAACAGUGACUCUUACUAUGAAACAGGAGGCAAAAUGAGCUUGCUGCCAUGAGGAUAGAGCCCAGGAUGUUGUCCUGUGUGUUGUAGAGUGAUGUAUCCUCUUCUACCUCAACGACCACUAGGUUCCUGUAGGCAAAUUAGGAGUGAUUGAGCCAUGAGGAAUAAAUCCAGCCACUCCACUGCUUUUGCUGACUGAUACUCAAGUUCUUUUGUAGAAACUUGAAAUUCCACAAUAUCAGUAGGGAAGAAUAAGAGGUUACUUUUAGUUCCCCAGGCAGUGUGCCAAAGGUUGAGAUGCUCUUUAAAAAAUUUUAAAGAGUUGCCCUUUCUGACCGUGACAAAUCUCAUCCCAUAAAUGUCAGAUAAGUUGCUCUGCCACACAGCAGGUGGUCUGUCCCCAACUCCCUGUUAGUGCUGGGCCCUGGCAAAGUCAGGAGGUUGUGCGGUGGGUUCUACAGAGGGCCCUGUCCAGACAUGGAUGCCCUGGGGCUUGGGAGAGGGCUUCCAGAAUGUGGGGCAGGAGGUAGUGCUGAAGGACAGCUUCAAAUUCUGGGAAUACUUGGAAGAGUGAAAAGGCAAGUCUAUUUUCAUAUGGUUGAAGACAGCCCUACCCUCUAAGACCAUUUGCAGAUGUGAGUCUAGCAGUUUCUAUGAAAUGUCUUUGUCCCCAACUGGCAGAAUCUAGAAAAACCUCGUGGGGUUGGAAUGACCCAAUUUGCUGACUCCAAAGCCAGGCUUUGGUCAUCAUGCAGGCAAUUCUGUCUUCAUGCGGUUGCAUGCAGGUGAGGCUGGAGCAGACAGCAUGUUCUGGAACACCUUAAUGAUGUCAGGACGCUUUUCAUUGCUCAUCUAUCACGUAACAGCUCAGAUUUGCAAUGUGCUACCUGCGUUCUCCCUUUAGCACAGACAAUGCGUUCUUUCAACAGUGUGCGGCUCCAUGGGAAAGGCUCUGCUGAAAGUGAAGUGGUGGGGUCCACAGCUGCCCCUCUGGGAAGGAGUGGUAUGGGGGCAGGUGGGGACCAGAUGCCUGGCCACAGCCGAGCUGGGGAUGAGCACAUGGAACAACCGCUUCUGGUUACACUUACUCGUUUCUCUGUGCUGAAAGGUGUCAUAUAAAUGCUAAGAACAGAGAGAGAUGGGGCCUAUUUAUUUGCAUUUUGUCUAAUGUGAGCAGAUGCAGAUAGAAAAGAGGCUUAGCCACAGCCGUUCACCUGCCCCGCUAGGCCUUCCAUCUUCAGUUCAUUUCAAUGCCUCCCGCGUCAGUUCCGCUCCAGUGCUGCAGCAGACAUGGCAUGGGGUGCAAAAGGGGCACAUGCCCUCUGUCUUCAGUGGGUUUGCAAAACUUGUGAAAGAGACAGGUUUAACCACAGGAACCAUCUGAGGACAAUACAACCCAGCAUAUGGCUCAGUGGUAAGUCAUGGGGAACAAUUGAAAUGCUGGAGGAGGUUGUGGAAGAGAGGACCACGCGUGGAUGGGCAGGAAGGCUUCUUAGGGGAAAUGAACUGGACUUGCCCUGUGAAGCUGGCCAGCAGGUAGGUGGGCAAAGAUGGUGAGCAUCGAUUGUCUACGCCCUUUGCCAGACCCUCACAUCUGCUAUUCUACUGACAUACUCCCCUCCUCUCUUUCAGUGGUUGGGUCUCCCUUAUCAAUUAGGACUUGGCUUAAAAGACUUCCACGAGGCUUUCCUCAACUGUUCUAAGUAGCAGUGCUCUGCACUGCAUUAUUCUCUAUCACAGUAUUCUGUUUUUUCCUCCCUCAAUGUAAUACAAUGUAUAAUUAGAUGUUUGCUUGUUUCAGUCUUCCCCAUUGCAUUUCAGCCACCACACAGUCAGGGGCCAUAUGUCUGCUUCAUUCACUUUUAUAUUCACAGACAUGCACAAUGCCUGGAGCCUAAGAGGUGCUCAGUAAAUACUUGCUGAAUGAAUGAGUGACCUUUGAGGAAAGCCUCAUUAGCAAAUAUAUUUCUUGGCCAGUUGAAUCCAAGCUCUUGUUUUAUAUUCCAGAAAGAAAACCUGCAGAUUCCAUUGAUCUGGCAUGGAGCUGGAUGUCUUUCAGGAUGAAGAGUUUUCAUUAAAACACAGCCACAACAAAGCAAGAAAAAAGAGCAAUUGAUGAAACCGUCAUAACGGCUGUGCCCCCAGCUUUCCCCUACCUCCUGUCUUCUGCCUCCUGAUCAUACCGGUGCUUCCCACGUGGCCCUGCAUGAUGUGGUGGUGAGACUUGCUCUUGGAUGCUGUCAGGAAGUAUCAUCUGACUGCGUUUGCUACCCUGGGGGAGACAAACAAAACUUGAGUGAAGGAAAAUGAGAACUCACCUGAAACCAAGAAGAGUCUUUGGAAAAGGAUUUUUGUGGACCUCAUCAAAUAACCAGGAAAGAUUAAUCACCUGAGAAGAGAAGAGACUGGGAAUCUUCACCCUGCCCAGACAGACUUUUCAUCUAUUCUCCUGAGAGCAGCUCCAAGAGAUUACCUGUGGGACUCAAUUUGCAUAAUAAGAUGACCUUUGUUCCUGUGCAGUUCCACCCCUCACCUUCCCAUAAUGUCUGCCUCCCACCUCCCAGGUGCAUUAUUUUUCCCUAAUUACUUACUGCUCCUUAAAAGAAAUGUCUACACUUCCCAUCUCCUUCCUCCCCUAUGGAAAAGGGCAUAUCACUUCUAUCAUUCUCCUGUGAUCCCCUGUGCUAUGCACAUUACAA